CUUUGCCUGAGGUGUGCGUUGUUAGUUACGUCCCUGAGCCGAUAUUUAAAACACUUUGAGUUGAGCUCUUAUAUUGUUGGUGAGCAGGCUCGUUUACGAGAAGCCUAAAAACGAUAAUGUUCGACUCCCUUGGACCGUCUGGUUCAAGGACCACAACUGAUGACGGCACUUCGGGUCUUUU
The sequence is a non-coding RNA, 181 nucleotides long. It matches the Rfam family "6S / SsrS RNA". Rfam says of the family: E. coli 6S RNA was the first non coding RNA to be sequenced, but its function was unknown until recently. It consists of 184 nucleotides that fold into an extended hairpin structure with a large single-stranded internal bulge. The 6S RNA specifically associates with RNA polymerase holoenzyme containing the sigma70 specificity factor. The record is from Rfam.